RNA transcript from Hippocampus zosterae (dwarf seahorse), 2129 nucleotides. It is a transcript of the gene named H-2 class I histocompatibility antigen, Q9 alpha chain-like, with no coding region annotated. Lineage: Eukaryota; Metazoa; Chordata; Actinopteri; Syngnathiformes; Syngnathidae. The transcript is spliced from 9 exons. The record is from RefSeq and is a predicted model, not a curated record.
CACACAAACACAGUUGCUGUCGUUUCAGCAACGUACGCAAAACGACGUAAGCAAUUUCGUUUAAAAUCAGGCAGAAAAUGUUUUCUGGCAAUGGGGAAAAAAAGGGCUUAGUGACGUCACUGGUAGCCCGAAUUCUAAUUGGUUCAGGAGGCGAACUGGUCCAAGCGUCCGUCUGUUAUUUCGCGUGCGCCCGUGUGACAGACAGCCGCAACUUGUAACUCCUUGUCCUUCUGCGACACAACUUUGGAUACCGAGAAUGUAUCUACUCGUCGUCUUUGUUGCGGCUCUGCAAACACUCAACGUGACGCCUGCGCUACAUACGCUGCGUUAUUUCAUCACAGCGUCCUCUCAAAUCGCAAAUCUGCCAGAGUACUGGGAGGUCGCGUAUGUGGACGGCGUUCAGAUUUUGCAGUUUGACAGCAAGAGCUGGAAAAUGAAAGCCAAGCUGGACUGGGUGAACAAAAUCGCAGCAGAGGAUCCAGACUUGUGGCAGCGAGAGCUGUACGGCAGUCUCGACAAUGAGCAGGCGUUCAAAGUCGACCUUGAAAUCCUGAACGAGCGCUUCAACCAAACCGGAGGCGUUCACAUGAUGCAAAGGAUGUACGGCUGUGAAUGGGAUGACGAGACUGGUGAGGUGGAUGGUUGGAAUCAGCACAGGUAUGACGGAGAAGACUUCAUCUCAUUUGAGUGGAAAACGAUGAGAUGGAUCGCAGCCAAGCCACAAGCGUUCAUCACAAAGAACAAGUGGGAACGAUCGGACGGCUACAAAGAAUACAUUAGGAGAUACGUCACAGAGAUUUGUCCUGCUGCCUUGAAGACGUACGUGCGCAAUGGGCGGGACUUCCUGAUGAGAACAGAGCUUCCGACGGUGUUUCUCCUCCAGAAGACGCCUUCCUCUCCGGUCACCUGCUUGGCGACGGGUUUCUACCCCCCCGUAUGGGAUCUUUUCUGGAGGAAGGACGGCGAGCAGCUGUACGAGGACGUGGAGAUGGGCCAGACGCUGCCCAACCACGACGGAACCUUCCAGACCGCGGUCCACCUGAAAGUGGAGCCGGCGCCCGACGCGGAGGCCAAGUACGAAUGUGUGUUCCGGCUGGCCGGCGUCGAGGAAGCCAUCGUCGUCGAGUUGGACGACAAAAACAUCCUGAGCAACGCGCGCGACGCAGAAGAAGAGCGAGUCAAGAUGGUGGUGGCCAUCGCUGUCACGUCGGGGGUCCUGGCUGUGCUGGCGGCGGGGGUGGCGGCCUUUCUUAGGUUCCUUGCCAAGCGUCGCCGGAACACACAAGGUGAGGGACGCCAAGAUCUGCCCGAUACUCUGCAGCGCCCGUUUCCACCGUUUCCGAGCCCCUUGCCGAGUGAGACGCGGCGGCCAUCGCACGACGCCAAGAACACAAGUGGGCCCGCUGAGCACGUUCUCACUACACCGCCUUUGAAAACGCAGAAGUUUUUCUUUUUCAAGCGGACCAUGAGUGUGAUUUUGCUUCUGUUAAGUAGCGCUCAAAGGUUUCUGGUUUUGGGGGGUUUGUGAUUUCAUGUGGGAAUUGUUUUUUUUUUGGAGCAAUCAAUUGACGAAUUCAAGAACUGAAUGUCGUCAAGGUCGAGAGCACGAUAACGAUUCUUCCAUCACCGCUUUCGCUUGAGCAAACAACUCUGCCAAAGCGCGAAUUGAUCAGAAAGUCACGUGAACCAUAGCGCUCCUCGUCCGAACAUUUUGGAUCGAUCUCUCGAUCAGUGCCACAUAUGGAAAUGGCCACCGGGGUGCACUACUUGGCCGCGGCCAGCAGAGGCGCUGCAGGUUUGCCGUCUCGAGAGGUUGAGCGACAGCCCUGCCGGAAAGUGUCAUUCUCUGUCUGGUUUUGAUUGUGUUUGAGCGAAGGGCGUCGCCCUCCGACUUUGCUCGCUGUUGUAUCCUCGACCUUUCGCUCUCGUUUUGCCGUUGAACUUUGGAAGUAUAUUCAUGAUCGCUUUUUUAUUGAUCCUGAUCUUUGGUUUGGCGUAAUUGGACUUCUUCUCGCUGUUCCCUUGUACUUUGCCUUUUGUUUGAUGAAAUGUUUGUUUGCUUUUCCUGGCUCCUUGUGGCCAGCGAUUUCAGCCUGUACUUUUCUGCAAUAAAUAUUUUUGUUUUUGCA